Austrofundulus limnaeus is the source of this 861-nucleotide long non-coding RNA. RefSeq lists it as uncharacterized. The transcript is spliced from 3 exons. The record is from RefSeq and is a predicted model, not a curated record. NCBI's taxonomy places the organism in Eukaryota, Metazoa, Chordata, Actinopteri, Cyprinodontiformes, Rivulidae.
GGUCAGACUCUACAGGUCUCAGAGGGUCAAAGGUCAGACUCUACAGGUCUCAGAGGGUCAAAGGUCAGACUCUACAGGUCUCAGAGGGUCAAAGAUCAGACUCUACAGGUCUCAGAGGGUCAAAGGUCAGACUCUACAGGUCUCAGAGGGUCAAAGGUCAGACUCUACAGGUCUCAGAGGGUCAAAGGUCAGACUCUACAGGCCUCAGAGGGUCAAAAGUCAGACUCUACAGGUCUCAGAGGGUCAAAGGUCAGGCUCUACAGGUAGAUUAUCUCUGAAUGUUUUGAUGAUAUUAUGAACUGUAAAUAAUAAUAAAAUGUUGUUCUUAAACAUUUGUCUAUUUGCAGUGGUUGACAAAGUGGUGAAGCACAUCCUGUUCUUAUCUGUGAUUGGCUGAGCCUUUCAGGGAUGCUCCCUUAGUGGUUCAUCUGUGGAGCGUUCCAAACAGGUGUGGAGUCUUCCCAACAGGUGUGGAGCGUUCCAAACAGAUGUGGAGCGUUUCCAACAGGUGUGGAGUCUUCCAAACAGGUGUGGAGCGUUCCCAACAGGUGUGGAGUGUUCCAAACAGGUGUGGAGUGUUCCAAACAGGUGUGGAGCGUUUCAAACAGGUGUGGAGCGUUUCCAACAGGUGUGGAGUCUUCCAAACAGGUGUGGAGCGUUCCCAACAGGUGUGGAGUGUUCCAAACAGGUGUGGAGUCUUCCAAACAGGUGUGGAGCGUUUCAAACAGGUGUGGAGCGUUUCCAAACAGGUGUGGAGUGUUCCCAACAGGUGUGGAGCGUUUCCAACAGGUGUGGAGUGUUCCAAACAGGUGUGGAGCGUUCCCAACAGGUGUGGAGCGUUCCAAACAGGUGUGGAGCGUU